AUCAUUCGUUGACAACGAGAGAGAGCACGGUUGUCAGCAUUUCAUGCAAGGGACAUGACUGUUUACAAGCGUGCUGUCUAUCGUUGUCAUAAGAAG
Manihot esculenta (cassava) is the source of this 96-nucleotide non-coding RNA. The record is from Rfam. Lineage: Eukaryota; Viridiplantae; Streptophyta; Magnoliopsida; Malpighiales; Euphorbiaceae.